Molecule: ribosomal RNA, 410 nt
Filed under: Ixodes vespertilionis
Lineage: Eukaryota; Metazoa; Arthropoda; Arachnida; Ixodida; Ixodidae
Description: partial 12S ribosomal RNA
Source: RNAcentral
UAAACUAGAGAUAGAUACCCUAUUAUUUUAAGCUGUAUGUUGUUAGUAGAUAAUUAUUAUGAAAUCAUAAGAUUUUGGCGGUAUUUUAAGCUUUUUAGAGGAAUUUGCUCUGUAAUGGAUAAAACGCCUGGAUCUUACUUAAUUUAGUGAGUUCAAUUUGUAUACCACUAUAUUUAAUUAUAUUGAAUAAUGAUGUUUAGGAUUUUUCUUUAAAAAAUAUAUUAAGUCAAGGUGCAAUCUAAAAUUAUGAAUGAAGUGAAUUACAUUGAUUAUAAUUAAGAUUAUUAUGAAAGAUUUAAAUUAGGAUUUAAAAGUAAAUUAUUAAUAGAAUGAAUACUUGAAUGAAGCUCUAGAAUAUGCACAUAUCGCCCGUCGCUCUCAAGUUUGAGAUAAGUCGUAACAUAGUAAAA